This 1022-nucleotide ribosomal RNA is filed under the name uncultured bacterium. Its description in RNAcentral is "bacterial SSU rRNA". It matches the Rfam family "Bacterial small subunit ribosomal RNA", at positions 8 to 1028 of the family's 1533-position model. The record is from RNAcentral.
AGAGUUUGAUCCUGGCUCAGAUUGAACGCUGGCGGCAUGCUUUACACAUGCAAGUCGAACGGCAGCGCGGGGCAACCUGGCGGCGAGUGGCGAACGGGUGAGUAAUAUAUCGGAACGUACCCAAGAGUGGGGGAUAACGUAGCGAAAGUUACGCUAAUACCGCAUACGAUCUACGGAUGAAAGUGGGGGAUCGCAAGACCUCAUGCUCCUGGAGCGGCCGAUAUCUGAUUAGCUAGUUGGUGAGGUAAAGGCUCACCAAGGCGACGAUCAGUAGCUGGUCUGAGAGGACGACCAGCCACACUGGAACUGAGACACGGUCCAGACUCCUACGGGAGGCAGCAGUGGGGAAUUUCGGACAAUGGGCGCAAGCCUGAUCCAGCAAUGCCGCGUGAGUGAAGAAGGCCUUCGGGUUGUAAAGCUCUUUUGUCAGGGAAGAAACGGCUGGGGCUAAUACCUUCGGCUAAUGACGGUACCUGAAGAAUAAGCACCGGCUAACUACGUGCCAGCAGCCGCGGUAAUACGUAGGGUGCAAGCGUUAAUCGGAAUUACUGGGCGUAAAGCGUGCGCAGGCGGUUUUGUAAGUCUGACGUGAAAGCCCCGGGCUCAACCUGGGAAUUGCGUUGGAGACUGCAAGGCUUGAAUCUGGCAGAGGGGGGUAGAAUUCCACGUGUAGCAGUGAAAUGCGUAGAGAUGUGGAGGAACACCGAUGGCGAAGGCAGCCCCCUGGGUCAAGAUUGACGCUCAUGCACGAAAGCGUGGGGAGCAAACAGGAUUAGAUACCCUGGUAGUCCACGCCCUAAACGAUGUCUACUAGUUGUCGGGUCUUAAUUGACUUGGUAACGCAGCUAACGCGUGAAGUAGACCGCCUGGGGAGUACGGUCGCAAGAUUAAAACUCAAAGGAAUUGACGGGGACCCGCACAAGCGGUGGAUGAUGUGGAUUAAUUCGAUGCAACGCGAAAAACCUUACCUACCCCUGACAUGUCAGGAACCUCCGAGAGAUUGGAGGUGCCCGAAAGGAGCC